UACGUAGGUCCCGAGCGUUGUCCGGAUUUAUUGAGCGUAAAGCGAGCGCAGGUGGUUUAUUAAGUCUGGUGUAAAAGGCAGUGGCUCAACCAUUGUAUGCAUUGGAAACUGGUAGACUUGAGUGCAGGAGAGGGGAGUGGAAUUCCAUGUGUAGCGGUGAAAUGCGUAGAUAUAUGGAGGAACACCGGUGGCGAAAGCGGCUCUCUGGCCUGUAACUGACACUGAGGCUCGAAAGCGUGGGGAGCAAACAGG
This 252-nucleotide ribosomal RNA is filed under the name uncultured bacterium. RNAcentral's name for it is "partial 16S ribosomal RNA". It matches the Rfam family "Bacterial small subunit ribosomal RNA", at positions 524 to 776 of the family's 1533-position model. The record is from RNAcentral.